UACAGAGGUCUCGAGCGUUAUGCGGAAUCACUGGGCUUAAAGCGUGUGUAGGUGGAUCGUUAAGUACCUUGUGAAAUCCCACGGCUUAACCGUGGAACUGCUUGGUAUACUGGCGGUCUUGAGCCACUUAGGGGCUACCGGAACAAAUGGUGGAGCGGUGAAAUGCGUAGAUAUCAUUUGGAACGCCAAUGGUGAAAACAGGUAGCUGGGAGUGUGCUGACACUGAGACACGAAAGCCAGGGGAGCAAACGGG
RNAcentral lists this ribosomal RNA (253 nucleotides) under uncultured bacterium. RNAcentral's name for it is "partial 16S ribosomal RNA". It matches the Rfam family "Bacterial small subunit ribosomal RNA", at positions 524 to 776 of the family's 1533-position model. The record is from RNAcentral.